UACGUAGGGUGCGAGCGUUGUCCGGAAUUAUUGGGCGUAAAGAGCUCGUAGGCGGUCUGUCGCGUCUGCUGUGAAAACCCGAGGCUCAACCUCGGGCCUGCAGCCGAUACGGGCAGACUAGAGUUCGGCAGGGGAGACUGGAAUUCCUGGUGUAGCGGUGAAAUGCGCAGAUAUCAGGAGGAACACCGGUGGCGAAGGCGGGUCUCUGGGCCGAUACUGACGCUGAGGAGCGAAAGCGUGGGGGAGCGAACAGG
Molecule: ribosomal RNA, 254 nt
Filed under: uncultured bacterium
Lineage: Bacteria
Description: partial 16S ribosomal RNA
Rfam family: Bacterial small subunit ribosomal RNA
Source: RNAcentral